UACGUAGGGGGCAAGCGUUAUCCGGAUUUACUGGGUGUAAAGGGAGCGUAGACGGCCAGACAAGUCUGAAGUGAAAAUCCAGCGCUUAACGUUGGAAGUGCUUUGGAAACUGCCGGGCUGGAGUGCAGGAGGGGCAGGCGGAAUUCCUAGUGUAGCGGUGAAAUGCGUAGAUAUUAGGAGGAACACCAGUGGCGAAGGCGGCCUGCUGGACUGCAACUGACGUUGAGGCUCGAAGGCGUGGGGAGCAAACUGG
RNAcentral lists this ribosomal RNA (253 nucleotides) under uncultured bacterium. Its description in RNAcentral is "partial 16S ribosomal RNA". It matches the Rfam family "Bacterial small subunit ribosomal RNA", at positions 524 to 776 of the family's 1533-position model. The record is from RNAcentral.